Thalassophryne amazonica is the source of this 237-nucleotide long non-coding RNA. RefSeq lists it as uncharacterized. The record is from RefSeq and is a predicted model, not a curated record. NCBI's taxonomy places the organism in Eukaryota, Metazoa, Chordata, Actinopteri, Batrachoidiformes, Batrachoididae. The transcript has 3 exons.
UUGUGUAGGUGGUGCAUACAAUCAUUUGAUGUAGGAUGUUUGCUUUAUUGACUGUGCAUGUGUGUGUGUGUGUGUGUGUGUGUGUGUGUGUGCGCGCGCGUCGCUGCAAAGAUUUACAGGACAGAAUCUGUCUUUGAGUGACAUUUGCUUUCAAUCUGCUCUCAGCAGAUACACCUCAAGCACACAGCAGCAAAACAAAACAAAACAAAAAAAAGAAAGAAAAAAAAAGGCGUUAUU